This 2869-nucleotide long non-coding RNA is filed under the name Salvia miltiorrhiza (redroot sage). RNAcentral describes it as "long non-coding RNA (SMIL_LNC011629)". The record is from RNAcentral. Lineage: Eukaryota; Viridiplantae; Streptophyta; Magnoliopsida; Lamiales; Lamiaceae.
UGUAUGUUCCUGGUUUUUUCUUCAACGGUACCACAUCAACAAUUGGUGGAACCAAUUAUUGAAUUCUGAUUUUUAUUAUAUUAUACUAUUAUUUUUAUUUUAUUUUUUUACGAUUUGACAAUAUUAAUUCCGAUUUGAGAAUAUUAGUAAUUUAUUUGGGACGUCCAAUCGGACCCAACGUCCAUGAAGAAUGGUAAUUAAAAAAAAAGAAAGAGAGAGAGAGAGAAAAUUACUUGGGACCGAACACGUAGCACGUUAUCUUAUUUGGAAUGUUUUAUCAGCAGAAUGAUUUAUCAUCUACUAAUUUAUUUUAUAACGUUUUCCAAUAAAAUAAGUAAUGAGUUCGCUAGCGUGUAUAAUUAAUUAUUCUCUAGGCAGGGAUGGUUCAUUAAUCUUUAAUAACCGAAUUUUUAGGGGCAAUAGCUCUGGUUUGUUAGGUAUUUAACGCUAUCUGCCUAUUUCUAUCGGGGCACUAAAUAAAAGCCAUUAAUUCAAAAUCAAGCUAAAUCAUAGUAGACUUUGUUUGAUUUCACCUCCUGCAAAUUAAGUUAAUUUAGAUAUGGAUGUCAUUAAAAGAGAGAAUAUAAAAUAUUCCCUAUUACCAAUAGGUGUCACACUGUCACGUAUAUUAAAUUGGAAUAAAUAUAAUUUAUGAACUAAAACUUUAAAGCAUUUUUUUCAAAAUGACUUGAGAUUUCAUUUAUUUUUUAAAAAUCUCACAAGCAUUGCAAAAAGGUUUCACUUUAGCCGGAGACCUUAUAGAAUCCAACACAGGAAAAUUAAAUCGGCCUGUAAAAUUUUGGAUUAAAUACGCAUAAAGUCACAAAUUUUAAUUGAAACACGUUUUACCACAAAUUUUGAAAAUUUCAAUUUUUAUCAUAAAAAAAUAUGUUUAUUUAAUUUUCUCAUUGUUUUCAUUUCUGAUGACAGUAAAAUUGAUAUGGUAUUUAUAUGAAUUUAAUUUGACACGUAACACUUAGGGGGAUUGAAUAUAAUGUAAUUAACCCUAAAAUCACAAAUAAUGUAGCGACACCUAGAUCCUCAACAUUUUUUUCCCCUUGAAAUAGCUUUACCUUGGACUGCCACGUGCACCGAAAUCUCAUCUGCUCCAAUUUCCCUGCCGGCCGGCCUUGUCUUGCAAUCUCCGCCGCCUUCUUCCUCCCCCGCCCUUGCCUACCUUCUAUUUUCUGGAAUGCAAUCAUCCACCAAUUUCUGGAAUGCACAUCAGUCCUUCUAGCUUGCUUAAUGCAACAUUUUUCUUUGCACAACUCACACUAUUCUUUCUAAAAUCCUGCUUUUUAUAGUCAUCUUCUUUUUCACAAAACUUGCUUUUAGUUCAACCUCUUGUUUCUUUUUUUCAGGCUUAUUCUCCAACAUUUAAAGCCCCAACUUCGGUUGCUCACUCCAUUUUCCUCCCUCGACUCAAUCACCUGGUUGCAGAUCGCGUCAAAUGAUAAUUGAGUGUUUCGAUUUCAAUUCUAGUGAUUCAAUCAUAAAUUUAUACAAAAUGAAAAUGACGUAAUUUCGUACAAGAACCAAAUGAUGCGUUUAAGUUAUCUGACAAUAAGUUGUGGCGCGGCGAGCCACAUUAGCACCACGUCUAUUUUUAAAAAAAUAGAAAUUGGGAGAAAAUAAUAAUGGUGGAAAAAUUGAAUAAAUGUGAAAGUUUUUUAUUAAAAAAAUAAAAUUUUCAAAAAUCAUGGGCAAAACUAUAUGGAUAUGGACUAAUAACAUAAAAUACAAUAUGAAUAUGGAUAGCCGAGUUAUUGAAGAAUUAAUUAGAAGAAUGUUAGUGGAGAAGUAAAAGUUUUUAAUGCAUUAUUAUCAGUAUUACAUAAAAAGGCUAUUUCUCUCUCUCAAAAAACAAAGAGGCUACCACGCAGCCCCAAACGCAACAAAUAGCCCUGCCAAAAAACCAGCUUGCUUGCAUUACAUAUUUACCAUGUAACGACGUUUCUUUUUGCCAGUUUCAAAUAAAAUCCAUUUUUUUCACCAUUAUGCAGCCACGAUAUUUCUACAAAAUCAUGACUACUCCCAUCGUAUUUCAGGCCAAAGCCAUGACUACAAACCUCAUAAUUUCGACUGCAUUUUUAGCUCUUGUUGUUUCCAUUUUGUUACUCUAUUUUGAUGCCAUCAGCAUUCAAGAUUCCAAUAUUCAUCAAGAAUUCAAGAAUGAUACCUCAUUGGUGCCCAACAAAAUUCAUGACGCCGUCGUUUUACCAAUGCCCGGCGGCGCCGUCGGGCCGGAGAGCUUCACCUUCGACAGCCGCGGCGGCGGCCCCUACACCGGCGUCUCCGACGGGAGGAUUAUCCGGUGGCAGGCGAAUGAAAGCCGGUGGGUGGACUUCGCCGUCACAUCGCCCAAGAGGUCACUUUUUCCUUUUAAUUUCUUUCUGUUCCUUUUUACGAUAUUUACAUUUAUAUUUUCAUCAUCUUUUUUUUCUUAAAUGAUAUUCUCAUCAUCAUUAACACUUCCUCUUAAUUUAUUUAUACAUAUAUGAAAUUAACCGAUAAUACUAGUAGAUUCUCGUGAAAAUUAUAUUUUCUUAAUAUUUUACUAAACAUAUAAAAUUAUUGUAUUCGUAGUAAAAUUAAUUAAAAAAAAUUAAACCUUAUAAUAUUCGAAUCUAAGUAAUGCAAUAACAGUAAAUUUUACAAUAUAAAAAUUAGAAAAAGAAAAAAAAUAUAUACCUUACGAUUUAAAUAAAGUUGUGAUUUGAACUCCGUCUCCAUCACAUAUAGGGAAACGUAAGUAAGAACCAAAACGGUUUAAGUUGGUUUCCCCUAUUUGGUGAGAUACCAUCUGCUCGCUUUGUUUUGUUUGUAUGAGCGAUAUUGCUUGCGUGUGAAAAAAUAUACUGCAUUCUGU